AGCGAUUUACGCAGGCGUUACUGAGUCUGUCGUUUCCGGCUUUGUUGUAAUCGUGACUUGUGCAGCGUAUGGUGAAAUAUAUCCGCGCAGUUGUUUAAUCGUCGAUAAUGUUACGUAGUUGGCCGUGAUAUAGUUGGAAAACACAUUAACAAAUCGUCGGAAGAUAAUAAGGGAGCAACGUAUUGCAGGACUAGGUUGCUUGCAGUACUGAAUCAAAAUGGAAUCAAUGGAUGCGCGCCUUGUGGCGCAAGCAUUGAACUACCAUGGUCAACAGUUGCAGAAAGUGUGGGAAGGAGAACGCAACGAGAAUGAGCUGGCCAUGCUCAAUCUCAAGGAACCAAAUUUUGAGAUCUAUCAACAACGUCAAAAGACUUUGAGUUUUGGUGAUAGAGGAAAAAGGCUAAAGCUACAGCAGUUCUUAGCAAAGAAAGCUGAUGCCCUUUAUGAUAAAUCAAAUUUGGAGAAAACAGUCGAACCUAUUAAGCAAGAAUUAGGAGAUGAAGAAUUUUAUGCAACAAUGCCAGGCCUUGAUACUUUUGUCACCAUGGAAAAAUCUCAACGUAUUCGUAAUUUUUUGGAGAGUUUGGUCAUUGGAGAUGUUAUUUACGCGCAAGUGAUGGGUAAAAGUGCUGCUGGUCUUCUUCUGAAGGUGCUUUGCAACUGCAGCGAUUGCCCCAGAGUUGUUACCGAUUUAGGAGUUAAGGCUCUAAUAUUGAACACGGCCACAGUGCCGGCAGUGGACAAGAAAGGUGUAACAAGAGGCUACAUGGCAAAUGAUCUCAUCUGCGUCGUAGUCAGUGAAGUUAACGUUGAAGCUGAGCGAGUUGUUGCAGUUAUGAACGUACCUGCCCGUGAAGGGCAAGCACCACACCCACCUAUGGGACUUAUCCAUUCUGAUGAUCUUCCAGAAGCUUAUAAGAAAGCGAUGGACAACAAAGGACAAUCUUAUGAAGCGAUGUUGGAGAAUAGUACUGGCUUCAACAACCCGAACAACAUUAAAUAUCUUUGCGACGUGAUGGGUCUUGGACAAGAGAACCAUUCCAAUAUGGUUGGUUUAAGAGAAAAGUUUCCACCCAAUGAAUAUGCAUCCGAAUUAAGACAGGCACAGGCUAGUAAAUGGGCAUUCCGAAGCGUGGCUGAAGGUAUAGAUCAUUUCAAAGCUGGACGUCAUACGGAAGCCUUCCAGUGUCUCAAUAAGGCACUUACCGUAGAUCCGCGAAACGUUGAAGGAUUAGUGGCCCGUGGAGCAUUAUAUGCAAAUAGUGGUAGUUUCAAGAAAGCAAUUGAUGAUUUUGAGACAGCGUUGAAAUUAAAUCAGACUCAUACGAAUGCCCGUAAAUACAUGGCUGAGACUCUUGUUGCUCUAGGUCGAAGUUAUGAAGAUGAAAAGAAGUACGAAGACGCUCAAAAAGCAUAUGAAAAUUGCUUGGCGAUUGCUCCAUUCCAUGAAGAAGCUAGGAAUUCUAUUGAAUACAUCAAGUCUAAGACAUUAACAUCUUCUUUGAAUCCUUUGGAUACGUUCAAGAGUUUUGAAACUGAGAAUGAUGUCAGUGAAAAUAAAAAAGAAAAGAAGAAACGUAAGAAGGAAAGGAAAUUGCGUUCAAAGAAAAGGCAGAGAUGGAGUUCCAGUUCUAGUUCGUCAUCAAGUGGAUCUUCGAGUUCCUCCAGUUCUGAAUCCAGCAGUUCUUCUUCGUCCGCAAGUUCACGAUCAGCAUCCCGAUCGCCUAGUCGCAAACGAAAACACAAGAAAGAUCAUCGUGGUUCACUUUCACCGCUUAGCAAACGCAUGGCUCAAUAUAAUAAUCCACCAGCUGCUGCUACUACAGCUACGCAUGAUGUAAUCGCUCCAGUAUCUUACAGUUCUAAUACUCGAGAUAAAAUGGAUGACUAUGAAAUAAAAGUACGGAAAUUCUUAGAGCAAACGAAGGACGACUCUGAUUACGAAGAUAAAGUAAGGAAAUUCUUAGAAGAAACUGCUAGAUGGAAGAGAGAAAGAGAGAAGGAAAAGAAACAUUCAGAGAGUGAGAAAAUGAAGAAAAAGAAGAAGAAGGAAAAGAAAGGAAAAGAUAAAGAAAAAGAGGAUAAAAAAAGCAGGAAGAAGAAGAAGAAAGAAGAAAGGAAAAAACGCAAAAAUAAGGACAAACUCGAACGAGAUUUAGAAGCUUUGAAGAAAUCAUCAUUGCCGGAUUUAGAACAAUUGGAAUCAAAACUGAAUGCAUAUUAUGCAAAAGUUGAAAAAGAGACUGCUGUCCUGAAAAGGUAUGUAGCUCAGUAUAAUGACAUAGCUUCCCCUCUUAGCAACGCGGAGAAGCUCGCUGAAAGUUCGCGAAGAGAGGAAGAGCUGCGCAGGGAGAAGGAAAGAGAAAGGGAUGAAGCUUCAAAAGCAUAUCACGAACGAGAAGCUAGAAUACCAAUGACCGCACAGCAGCGUAAAGAUCCGUUUAAUUUUAUAUUUUUUACAGAAAUUCAGAGGAAACCGCUCACGGACAUAUUUGAGCAAGAGUCUCAACUGAUUCAUCCUGAACCAAAAUUACCUACUCUCGAUACAGCUGCAUUGAAUGCAAAGUGGAAAGCCGCACAGGCUGCUAGACAAAAGGAUGUUCUUCCGCAAAAAUGGCAAGAUGUAUCAGCAGAGAAUAAAAAGAUGCAGUCAAAUGUAGAUAGUGAUGAAGAUGAUGAUAAUGAGUUGGAAGAGAAGCUGCAACGUACGGCAUUGGAAAAAUCUAUGAAUAUACGGAAACAAAUGCAGCGUGAACUCGCGGAAAAGAGAGCAGCAGCUGCUCAGCCCAUGUCUGCCCCGACUCCACCGCCAUUACCCAAAGAACCGGUAAAAUAUCCCACGCCACAACCGCAGAACAAAUUCCAAUCAUAUAAGGAUCCUUCUAUAUCUGCUCCUCAAACAACACCAACGAAGUUUAGUUCUAGUAACAAUCUUGGUGGCAAAUUCCAACCUAUUGGACAAAGCGGUAAUACCGGUGCUGGUCACCCACCAGAACCACCGCGUCCUCCUCCACUAGCAAAGAACCAAAAUCAAGCUAAAGGUCCUAGAACAGAUUCCGAUAGCGAGACAGAAAGGCAACAUAGACAACCAUCUAAGAAACGUGAAUCGAGCGGUAGAGGAGGAACCGUGACUAAGAGAAUGAGCAGAGAUCGCCCAGUGAAACGAUCACGGAGCAGAUCGCGCAGUGCCUCCAGUUCAGGUUCUUCGAGGUCUCGUUCACCCAGAAGAAGUCGUUCAAGAUCAUAUUCGAAUCGAAGAUCUGGAAGUUACGAGAGAAAAUAUAGUCGAUCUCCAUCGGGCACAUACAGUAGAUCACGUUCUAGAUCACGUUCCCGAUCUUAUACUAGAAGUCGCAGUCGCAGUAGAUCCGGAGAUAGAAGUUACUAUCGCAAGAGACAAUUCCGACCAUACAAUAACCGCGGCACUUAUUAUAAACCACGUUUCCAGGGUUUCAAUAAUCCAAAUCAUCGCGGUGGUGGUAACAAUUUCCAAAAUCGUAAUCGAUUCUAUAAUAAUCAACACAACAAUCGUUUUGGCAACAGACGUGGCGGUGGUUUUAAUAAUCGUGGUGGUGGACGCGGACGUGGCGGUAAUCGUGGUGGUAGAUUUUUCCACGGUAAGCAGGGCUUCCGCGAUUUCCGAGAUAGGCGUGACUUCAGAGAUCGUCGUGCCGCUUCUCGCGAUAGAUACAGCGAUCGUAGUUAUUCUCCCGAUCCGAUGAGAAAAGUCGACGAAGCAAAAGAGAAGAUCAACAAAAUGCUCGAAGGGGGAGAUGACGUUAUGGAGCAUCAACAAGGUAGUGGAGGAUCGAAUGCUCCUCCUAGUAAAAGGCAAGAUGGACCUUUAAGCGAAGGCGAAGAAAGGGACGACGAUGACUACGAGAGGUGGGGAGAGGGCGAGGGGGGCGACACAGCUAACAAGGUUGGUUAGGUCUCUUCUGUGUAGGCUUUUGCAAAAGACUAGCCUAUCUUCGUGAUGACGAUCAUGAUAAUCCGGAUGAUAAUAUGAGGAAUAAAUAAUGAGGAUAAUGAUGAUGAUGAUGGUGAUGAGCCACACGCGCAAGAGAAACGCGACCUAGGAGCCAACUAACUCUCGUUUGUUACUAGAAUGAGGUUGGACCUGUCGACGAUAACCUGGAAGGCAAGGAGUACUUCAUUGAGCGCAUGAAGCAGCGAAGCAAGAAUGUUUUAAUGCAGAGAACCCUUGCUGCUAAGGUUUGGUAGAAAUCCCGUUGCCGUUGCUGCUUCUUCGAUUCUUCUCCUUCAUCUGUGAUAUAGUUACUUCUCCUCAACGUUAAACAUCAACCGGAUCACGUGAGACAUAGACCUCUUACUCUAUUCUUAUACCGAAUAUUUUCGGUAUAUUUAAAACAAAGUCUAGAGGGGGAUAUAUUGUAAGGAAAAACGUACAACAGUGCUAAUGACGGUUGCGAGAAAUGUACUUUUUUCUUUCGAUUUUUUAACUUUAUCAGAGUUAACAAUAAUCGCGUAAAAUACGGAAUUAUAUCGAAUGAAUAUAAAUCGAGGCCGUUUCCCUCAAUUGUUAUAGUUUUGCACAUGAAUAUUUACAUGGUAAAUAUUCGUGAUAUAAUACAUAUAAAUGUGCGUUUCUCGCACAUUCAUACACUUGAUAACACUUGAUAACUUGUUUGUACCGCGUGAAAUUAAUGAACAUCUAUAAACUUGUGAUUUUCCCCUCCUUUUUUUUCUUUAAUUGUUAACCAAAAAAAAAAAAAAAAAA
Apis florea (little honeybee) is the source of this 4741-nucleotide unclassified non-coding RNA. Lineage: Eukaryota; Metazoa; Arthropoda; Insecta; Hymenoptera; Apidae. The record is from RefSeq and is a predicted model, not a curated record.